CAGGUAACAAACAAGAUGGCUUCUGCUGUGGCAGUAGAGCCUGAGAUGUCCCCCAUACAUGGUGCUUCACAUGAGGAUUCAGACCAAGAUGAUGCUUAUGCACAGAAGCCAGUGUGUACAAGGAGAGGAUUCAGAAGAUGAGGGCAGUGUGGCACCCCUAUUGGAAUGUACCUCAUCAUCUGCCCAAAACCAAGUGGUGUCAGCAAAAAUGAGAGAAGCCAGUGUGGCACAAGGCGAGGACUCAGAAGAUGAGGACAGUGCGGCAUCCCUGCAAGAAUGUACCUCAUCAUCUGCCCAAAACCAGAUGGUGUGAACAACAAAGAGAGGUAAACAAUCUGCUGUCAAAAGACGUUGGACGCCAGAGGAAUCUGCUGCAGUUUACAGACAUUUAAGGAAAUUCAUAGUGAGAAGCCAAGUUCCCGAAAAAGUGGACUGUGAGCACUGUAUUACUGCAGAACCUCAAGCACUAGGAAACAGAGACUGGAAAGCAGUAAAACACUUCAAGAAUCUUCUGCCAUCAGAAGAGAACUACAGUGAAUUGCUACUAGAUGUGAGCAGUGUGUGGAUUCUGCUUUAUUCAAACUGUACCCGCCAGGUAACACUAUCUAGACAGCUGCAUUUACAAACACAAACAGAUGAUGGAGUAAACAGAGCAGCCAUCUUAGUACCUUAAAAUGGCCAAUUUCCUGUUAAGAGAAUGUUCUGUUUGUUGUGGAAUGUUACAUAAGACUGCCAAGUUUUGUUCAUUCAUUAGGGUUAUGUCGUGUUAUGUCUGUGUUUCGUUGUCUCUCUGUCUCAUUCUCUUUCUAUGUCUGGUUCUGUCUCUAUGUCUCAUCUGUCUCAUCUCUCUCUCUCUGUCUCAUUCUCUUUCUAUGUCUGGUUCUGUCUCUAUGUCUCAUCUCUCUGUCUCGUCUCUCUCUCUCUGUCUCAUUCUCUUUCUAUGUGUGGUUCUGUCUCUAUGUCUCAUCUCUCUGUCUCGUCUCUCUCUCUCUGUCUCAUUCUCUUUCUAUGUCUGGUUCUGUCUCUGUCUCAUCUCUCUGUCUCGUCUCUCUCUCUCUGUCUCAUUCUCUUUCUAUGUGUGGUUCUGUCUCUCUGUCUCGUCUCUCUCUCUCUGUCUCUCUCUGUCUCUCUGUCUCCUUGUGUCUCUCUGUCACAUCUCUCUGUUUCAUUGUCUCUGUCUCAUCUCUGUCUCAUUAUCUCUCUGUCUCGUCUCUGUCUCCUUGUCUCUAUGUCUCAUUCUCUCUCUGUAUCUCGUCCUCUCUCUAUGUCUAGUUCUCUCUUUGUGUCUAAUGUCUGUCUCUCGUUCUCUGCCUGUGUCUCAUUCUCUCUCUGUAUCUCGUCCUCUCUCUAUGUCUAGUUCUCUCUUUGUGUCUAAUGUCUGUCUCUCGUUCUCUGCCUGUGUCUCAUUGUCUCUCUGUGUCUCCUCACUCUCUGUCUUGUUCUCUCUCGCUCCUGUUCCAGCUUCUGAUCAGUGAAUUCUGGCUCGAAAUAUUCAUCCAUUUUAAGUUCCUCUGGAGCUGAACACCUGAAAUUGUCUCAAGAAAGUUAUAUUAGGUUGUAGUUGUAAUUAAAAUAAUAAUGAAUUAAUUAAUUACUGCUUUUUGCAUUCAUUUGUCUU
This is a long non-coding RNA of Amphiprion ocellaris (clown anemonefish), 1618 nucleotides long. RefSeq lists it as uncharacterized. The record is from RefSeq and is a predicted model, not a curated record. Lineage: Eukaryota; Metazoa; Chordata; Actinopteri; Pomacentridae. The transcript is spliced from 4 exons.